UCACAACAUGAGGAACUGUAUUUAAAGGGCCAGAAGGUUGAGAACCACUGCCCUAAACCCAUGAAGGUGGUGUAGUGUAAUUGUUAAGAAAGAGUUCUGAAGUCUGGCUGCCUCGGAGCAAAUCCCAUCAUUUAUUUACUGUGUCACUUAGGCAAAAAAAUCUUACCUCUCUCUAAGCUUUGUUUCUCCAUCUGUUAAAUGAGGAUAACAAUUAUUUUAAUUAUGAUAACAGCUGACAUUUGGGAAGAGACAGGUCUGAACUCC
Myotis davidii is the source of this 264-nucleotide long non-coding RNA. RefSeq lists it as uncharacterized. The transcript has 3 exons. NCBI's taxonomy places the organism in Eukaryota, Metazoa, Chordata, Mammalia, Chiroptera, Vespertilionidae. The record is from RefSeq and is a predicted model, not a curated record.